UGAGCCAUGAAUUACACAUAUGAUGUUUGUCAGUUUAAAUGAUAAUUUAGCACGUCAAGAAACCUUCAGUUUGUCAUAAAACUGUAAAGUAUCAGAAUGUGAAAAUACGUCAUUAGAAAGACUCCACACUUCAAAGUGUCAUGGCUGACGUCUCUCUGAAGCUACGACGCCUGUGUGUUUGGUAGAAGGAUGUAACGUUACUCACACGAGCAAAGGAUUUCUUUCUCUGGGUAUCAGGCAGCAAAGGUGGAACAAGACCCAGACUCAACGGGAACGUUUGAAAAGGUUUAUUUCAGAAUCCACCUGUCAGGGAGGAGGUGGAACCUCCCAUGAUGCCGCUGGCUCAGGAGGAAGCACCCUGAAGGAGGAGGAGGCAGACGGAGAGUCAGCAUCUACUGGAGGAAUCAACUAUUCUAAAAAGUGAUCCACUUGUUUAAAUCACUUCUUUAACUGCAUAGUGGAUGGACCUGGG
Molecule: long non-coding RNA, 472 nt
Organism: Sander lucioperca (pikeperch)
Lineage: Eukaryota; Metazoa; Chordata; Actinopteri; Perciformes; Percidae
Exons: 3
Source: RefSeq, a predicted model, not a curated record